RNAcentral lists this ribosomal RNA (253 nucleotides) under uncultured bacterium. RNAcentral describes it as "partial 16S ribosomal RNA". It matches the Rfam family "Bacterial small subunit ribosomal RNA", at positions 524 to 776 of the family's 1533-position model. The record is from RNAcentral.
UACGUAGGGCGCAAGCGUUGUCCGGAAUUAUUGGGCGUAAAGAGCUCGUAGGCGGCUUGUCACGUCGAUUGUGAAAGCCCGAGGCUUAACCUCGGGUCUGCAGUCGAUACGGGCUAGCUAGAGUGUGGCAGGGGAGAUCGGAAUUCCUGGUGUAGCGGUGAAAUGCGCAGAUAUCAGGAGGAACACCGGUGGCGAAGGCGGAUCUCUGGGCCAUUACUGACGCUGAGGAGCGAAAGCGUGGGGAGCGAACAGG